RNAcentral lists this ribosomal RNA (3113 nucleotides) under Salmonella enterica subsp. enterica serovar Typhimurium. RNAcentral's name for it is "23S ribosomal RNA". It matches the Rfam family "Bacterial large subunit ribosomal RNA". The record is from RNAcentral. Lineage: Bacteria; Pseudomonadati; Pseudomonadota; Gammaproteobacteria; Enterobacterales; Enterobacteriaceae.
GGGUUGUGAGGUUAAGCGACUAAGCGUACACGGUGGAUGCCCUGGCAGUCAGAGGCGAUGAAGGGCGUGCUAAUCUGCGAUAAGCGCCGGUAAGGUGAUAUGAACCGUUAUAACCGGCGAUACCCGAAUGGGGAAACCCAGUGUGAUUCGUCACACUAUCAUUAACUGAAUCCAUAGGUUAAUGAGGCGAACCGGGGGAACUGAAACAUCUAAGUACCCCGAGGAAAAGAAAUCAACCGAGAUUCCCCCAGUAGCGGCGAGCGAACGGGGAGGAGCCCAGAGCCUGAAUCAGCAUGUGUGUUAGUGGAAGCGUCUGGAAAGGCGCGCGAUACAGGGUGACAGCCCCGUACACAAAAGCGCAUGUGCUGUGAGCUCGAUGAGUAGGGCGGGACACGUGGUAUCCUGUCUGAAUAUGGGGGGACCAUCCUCCAAGGCUAAAUACUCCUGACUGACCGAUAGUGAACCAGUACCGUGAGGGAAAGGCGAAAAGAACCCCGGCGAGGGGAGUGAAAAAGAACCUGAAACCGUGUACGUACAAGCAGUGGGAGCCCCACCACCAAAGCAUUCUCUGGUGUUGAAGGCCCUGCAAAGCAGCAUCGCGGUGGCGGAGCGUCGUUUGCGACGCCCAACACACAAAACAAGCGGUGAAUGCUUUGGGGUGGGGUGACUGCGUACCUUUUGUAUAAUGGGUCAGCGACUUAUAUUCUGUAGCAAGGUUAACCGAAUAGGGGAGCCGGAGGGAAACCGAGUCUUAAUUGGGCGUUAAGUUGCAGGGUAUAGACCCGAAACCCGGUGAUCUAGCCAUGGGCAGGUUGAAGGUUGGGUAACACUAACUGGAGGACCGAACCGACUAAUGUUGAAAAAUUAGCGGAUGACCUGUGGCUGGGGGUGAAAGGCCAAUCAAACCGGGAGAUAGCUGGUUCUCCCCGAAAGCUAUUUAGGUAGCGCCUCGUGAAUUCAUCUCCGGGGGUAGAGCACUGUUUCGGCUAGGGGGCCAUCCCGGCUUACCAACCCGAUGCAAACUGCGAAUACCGGAGAAUGUUAUCACGGGAGACACACGGCGGGUGCUAACGUCCGUCGUGAAGAGGGAAACAACCCAGACCGCCAGCUAAGGUCCCAAAGUCAUGGUUAAGUGGGAAACGAUGUGGGAAGGCCCAGACAGCCAGGAUGUUGGCUUAGAAGCAGCCAUCAUUUAAAGAAAGCGUAAUAGCUCACUGGUCGAGUCGGCCUGCGCGGAAGAUGUAACGGGGCUAAACCAUGCACCGAAGCUGCGGCAGCGAACGUAUCACCCAAGACAACUUUACGGAGUUGACGAUUGACGGAGCGAAGCGACGUCAAAGCGUUCAUUAAAGUCGAGUUGGCUUAGGGAUACGUUCGUUGGGUAGGGGAGCGUUCUGUAAGCCUGUGAAGGUGUGUCGUGAGGCAUGCUGGAGGUAUCAGAAGUGCGAAUGCUGACAUAAGUAACGAUAAAGCGGGUGAAAAGCCCGCUCGCCGGAAGACCAAGGGUUCCUGUCCAACGUUAAUCGGGGCAGGGUGAGUCGACCCCUAAGGCGAGGCCGAAAGGCGUAGUCGAUGGGAAACGGGUUAAUAUUCCCGUACUUGGUGUUACUGCGAAGGGGGGACGGAGAAGGCUAUGUUGGCCGGGCGACGGUUGUCCCGGUUUAAGCGUGUAGGUGUGUGUUCCAGGUAAAUCCGGUUCACUUUAACACUGAGGCGUGACGACGAGGCACUACGGUGCUGAAGCAACAAAUGCCCUGCUUCCAGGAAAAGCCUCUAAGCAUCAGGUAACAUCAAAUCGUACCCCAAACCGACACAGGUGGUCAGGUAGAGAAUACCAAGGCGCUUGAGAGAACUCGGGUGAAGGAACUAGGCAAAAUGGUGCCGUAACUUCGGGAGAAGGCACGCUGACACGUAGGUGAAGUGAUUUACUCAUGGAGCUGAAGUCAGUCGAAGAUACCAGCUGGCUGCAACUGUUUAUUAAAAACACAGCACUGUGCAAACACGAAAGUGGACGUAUACGGUGUGACGCCUGCCCGGUGCCGGAAGGUUAAUUGAUGGGGUCAGCGCAAGCGAAGCUCCUGAUCGAAGCCCCGGUAAACGGCGGCCGUAACUAUAACGGUCCUAAGGUAGCGAAAUUCCUUGUCGGGUAAGUUCCGACCUGCACGAAUGGCGUAAUGAUGGCCAGGCUGUCUCCACCCGAGACUCAGUGAAAUUGAACUCGCUGUGAAGAUGCAGUGUACCCGCGGCAAGACGGAAAGACCCCGUGAACCUUUACUAUAGCUUGACACUGAACAUUGAGCCUUGAUGUGUAGGAUAGGUGGGAGGCUUUGAAGUGUGGACGCCAGUCUGCAUGGAGCCGACCUUGAAAUACCACCCUUUAAUGUUUGAUGUUCUAACGUGGACCCGUAAUCCGGGUUGCGGACAGUGUCUGGUGGGUAGUUUGACUGGGGCGGUCUCCUCCUAAAGAGUAACGGAGGAGCACGAAGGUUGGCUAAUCCUGGUCGGACAUCAGGAGGUUAGUGCAAUGGCAUAAGCCAGCUUGACUGCGAGCGUGACGGCGCGAGCAGGUGCGAAAGCAGGUCAUAGUGAUCCGGUGGUUCUGAAUGGAAGGGCCAUCGCUCAACGGAUAAAAGGUACUCCGGGGAUAACAGGCUGAUACCGCCCAAGAGUUCAUAUCGACGGCGGUGUUUGGCACCUCGAUGUCGGCUCAUCACAUCCUGGGGCUGAAGUAGGUCCCAAGGGUAUGGCUGUUCGCCAUUUAAAGUGGUACGCGAGCUGGGUUUAGAACGUCGUGAGACAGUUCGGUCCCUAUCUGCCGUGGGCGCUGGAGAACUGAGGGGGGCUGCUCCUAGUACGAGAGGACCGGAGUGGACGCAUCACUGGUGUUCGGGUUGUCAUGCCAAUGGCACUGCCCGGUAGCUAAAUGCGGAAGAGAUAAGUGCUGAAAGCAUCUAAGCACGAAACUUGCCCCGAGAUGAGUUCUCCCUGAGACUUUAGGUCUCCUGAAGGAACGUUGAAGACGACGACGUUGAUAGGCCGGGUGUGUAAGCGCAGCGAUGCGUUGAGCUAACCGGUACUAAUGAACCGUGAGGCUUAACCUUACAACGCCGAAG